Molecule: ribosomal RNA, 253 nt
Filed under: uncultured bacterium
Lineage: Bacteria
Description: partial 16S ribosomal RNA
Rfam family: Bacterial small subunit ribosomal RNA
Source: RNAcentral
UACGUAGGGGGCUAGCGUUGUCCGGAAUCAUUGGGCGUAAAGAGCGUGUAGGCGGCCAGGUAGGUCGGUUGUGAAAACUGGAGGCUCAACCUUCAGAGGUCGACCGAAACCAUCUGGCUAGAGUCCGGGAGAGGAGAGUGGAAUUCCUGGUGUAGCGGUGAAAUGCGCAGAUAUCAGGAAGAACACCCGUGGCGAAAGCGGCUCUCUGGAACGGUACUGACGCUGAGACGCGAAAGCGUGGGGAGCGAACAGG